This 506-nucleotide ribosomal RNA is filed under the name uncultured bacterium. RNAcentral's name for it is "partial 16S ribosomal RNA". It matches the Rfam family "Bacterial small subunit ribosomal RNA", at positions 29 to 523 of the family's 1533-position model. The record is from RNAcentral.
AGUGAACGCUGGCGGUAGGCCUAACACAUGCAAGCCGAACGGCAGCACAGGAGAGCUUGCUCUCUGGGUGGCGAGUGGCGGACGGGUGAGGAAUACAUCGGAAUCUACUCUGUCGUGGGGGAUAACGUAGGGAAACUUACGCUAAUACCGCAUACGACCUACGGGUGAAAGCAGGGGAUCUUCGGACCUUGCGCGAUUGAAUGAGCCGAUGUCGGAUUAGCUAGUUGGCGGGGUAAAGGCCCACCAAGGCGACGAUCCGUAGCUGGUCUGAGCGGAUGAUCAGCCACACUGGAACUGAGACACGGUCCAGACUCCUACGGGAGGCAGCAGUGGGGAAUAUUGGACUAUGGGCGCAAGCCUGAUCCAGCCAUACCGCGUGGGUGAAGAAGGCCUUCGGGUUGUAAAGCCCUUUUGUUGGGAAAGAAAUCCAGCUGGCUAAUACCCGGUUGGGAUGACGGUACCCAAAGAAUAAGCACCGGCUAACUUCGUGCCAGCCGCCGCCGUAA